Molecule: ribosomal RNA, 484 nt
Filed under: uncultured bacterium
Lineage: Bacteria
Description: bacterial SSU rRNA
Rfam family: Bacterial small subunit ribosomal RNA
Source: RNAcentral
AAUCAACGCUGGCGGCGUGCCUCAGACAUGCAAGUCGAACGAUUAAGACUUCCUUCGGGAAGUGCAUAAAGUGGCGCACGGGUGAGUAACACGUAAGUAAUCUACCCUCGAGUGGGGAAUAACGUUCGGAAACGGACGCUAAUACCGCAUAACGCAGCGGCACCGCAAGGUGACAGUUGUUAAAGGAGCAAUCCGCUUGAGGAGGAGCUUGCGGCAGAUUAGCUAGUUGGUAGGGUAAUGGCUUACCAAGGCUACGAUCUGUAUCCGGUCUAAGAGGACGGUCGGACACACUGACACUGAAUAACGGGUCAGACUCCUACGGGAGGCAGCAGUCGGGAAUUUGGGCAAUGGGCGAAAGCCUGACCCAGCAACGCCGCGUGAAGGAUGAAGUAUUUCGGUAUGUAAACUUCGAAAGAAUAGGAAGAAUAAAUAGACGGUACUAUUUAUAAGCUCCGGCUAACUACGUGCCAGCAGCCGCGGUAAU